UACGGAAGGCAGCAGUGGGGAAUAUUGCACAAUGGGCGCAAGCCUGAUGCAGCCAUGCCGCGUGUAUGAAGAAGGCCUUCGGGUUGUAAAGUACUUUCAGCGGGGAGGAAGGCGAUGCGGUUAAUAACCGCGUCGAUUGACGUUACCCGCAGAAGAAGCACCGGCUAACUCCGUGCCAGCAGCCGCGGUAAUACGGAGGGUGCAAGCGUUAAUCGGAAUUACUGGGCGUAAAGCGCACGCAGGCGGUCUGUUAAGUCAGAUGUGAAAUCCCCGGGCUUAACCUGGGAACUGCAUUUUGAAACUGGCAGGCUUGAGUCUUGUAGAGGGGGUAGAAUUCCAGGUGUAGCGGUGAAAUGCGUAGAGAUCUGGAGGAAUACCGGUGGCGAAGGCGGCCCCUGGGACAAGACUGACGCUCAGGUGCGAAAGCGUGGGGAGCAAACGAGGAUUAGGAUACC
This 455-nucleotide ribosomal RNA is filed under the name uncultured bacterium. RNAcentral's name for it is "bacterial SSU rRNA". It matches the Rfam family "Bacterial small subunit ribosomal RNA", at positions 340 to 786 of the family's 1533-position model. The record is from RNAcentral.